This 492-nucleotide ribosomal RNA is filed under the name uncultured bacterium. RNAcentral describes it as "partial 16S ribosomal RNA". It matches the Rfam family "Bacterial small subunit ribosomal RNA", at positions 29 to 507 of the family's 1533-position model. The record is from RNAcentral.
AGUGAACGCUGGCGGUAGGCCUAACACAUGCAAGUCGAACGGCAGCACAGUAAGAGCUUGCUCUUACGGGUGGCGAGUGGCGGACGGGUGAGGAAUACAUCGGAAUCUACUUUUUCGUGGGGGAUAACGUAGGGAAACUUACGCUAAUACCGCAUACGACCUACGGGUGAUAGCAGGGGAUCUUCGGACCUUGCGCGAUUGAAUGAGCCGAUGUCGGAUUAGCUAGUUGGCGGGGGAAAGGCCCACCAAGGCGACGAUCCGUAGCUGGUCUGAGAGGAUGAUCAGCCACACUGGAACUGAGACACGGUCCAGACUCCUACGGGAGGCAGCAGUGGGGAAUAUUGGACAAUGGGCGCAAGCCUGAUCCAGCCAUACCGCGUGGGUGAAGAAGGCCUUCGGGUUGUAAAGCCCUUUUGUUGGGAAAGAAAAGCAGCAGGUUAAUACCCCGCUGUUCUGACGGUACCCAAAGAAUAAGCACCGGCUAACUUCGUG